Molecule: non-coding RNA, 82 nt
Organism: Ixodes scapularis (black-legged tick)
Lineage: Eukaryota; Metazoa; Arthropoda; Arachnida; Ixodida; Ixodidae
Source: Rfam
GCAGUCGUGGCCGAGUGGUUUAGGCGAUAGACUAGAAAUCCAUUGGGGUCUCCCCGCACAGGUUCGAAUCCUGCUGACUGCG